AGCGAACAGAUAAGGAGCUUGCUCCUUUGACGUUAGCGGCGGACGGGUGAGUAACACGUGGGUAACCUACCUAUAAGACUGGGAUAACUUCGGGAAACCGGAGCUAAUACCGGAUAACAUUUGGAACCGCAUGGUUCUAAAGUGAAAGAUGGUUUUGCUAUCACUUAUAGAUGGACCCGCGCCGUAUUAGCUAGUUGGUAAGGUAACGGCUUACCAAGGCGACGAUACGUAGCCGACCUGAGAGGGUGAUCGGCCACACUGGAACUGAGACACGGUCCAGACUCCUACGGGAGGCAGCAGUAGGGAAUCUUCCGCAAUGGGCGAAAGCCUGACGGAGCAACGCCGCGUGAGUGAUGAAGGGUUUCGGCUCGUAAAACUCUGUUAUUAGGGAAGAACAAAUGUGUAAGUAACUGUGCACGUCUUGACGGUACCUAAUCAGAAAGCCACGGCUAACUACGUGCCAGCAGCCGCGGUAAUACGUAGGUGGCAAGCGUUAUCCGGAAUUAUUGGGCGUAAAGCGCGCGUAGGCGGUUUCUUAAGUCUGAUGUGAAAGCCCACGGCUCAACCGUGGAGGGUCAUUGGAAACUGGGAAACUUGAGUGCAGAAGAGGAAAGUGGAAUUCCAUGUGUAGCGGUGAAAUGCGCAGAGAUAUGGAGGAACACCAGUGGCGAAGGCGACUUUCUGGUCUGUAACUGACGCUGAUGUGCGAAAGCGUGGGGAUCAAACAGGAUUAGAUACCCUGGUAGUCCACGCCGUAAACGAUGAGUGCUAAGUGUUAGGGGGUUUCCGCCCCUUAGUGCUGCAGCUAACGCAUUAAGCACUCCGCCUGGGGAGUACGACCGCAAGGUUGAAACUCAAAGGAAUUGACGGGGACCCGCACAAGCGGUGGAGCAUGUGGUUUAAUUCGAAGCAACGCGAAGAACCUUACCAAAUCUUGACAUCCUUUGAAAACUCUAGAGAUAGAGCUUUCCCCUUCGGGGGACAAAGUGACAGGUGGUGCAUGGUUGUCGUCAGCUCGUGUCGUGAGAUGUUGGGUUAAGUCCCGCAACGAGCGCAACCCUUAAGCUUAGUUGCCAUCAUUAAGUUGGGCACUCUAGGUUGACUGCCGGUGACAAACCGGAGGAAGGUGGGGAUGACGUCAAAUCAUCAUGCCCCUUAUGAUUUGGGCUACACACGUGCUACAAUGGACAAUACAAAGGGCAGCUAAACCGCGAGGUCAUGCAAAUCCCAUAAAGUUGUUCUCAGUUCGGAUUGUAGUCUGCAACUCGACUACAUGAAGCUGGAAUCGCUAGUAAUCGUAGAUCAGCAUGCUACGGUGAAUACGUUCCCGGGUCUUGUACACACCGCCCGUCACACCACGAGAGUUUGUAACACCCGAAGCCGGUGGAGUAACCA
Molecule: ribosomal RNA, 1395 nt
Filed under: Staphylococcus pseudoxylosus
Lineage: Bacteria; Bacillati; Bacillota; Bacilli; Caryophanales; Staphylococcaceae
Description: bacterial SSU rRNA
Rfam family: Bacterial small subunit ribosomal RNA
Source: RNAcentral